Molecule: ribosomal RNA, 479 nt
Filed under: uncultured soil bacterium
Lineage: Bacteria
Description: bacterial SSU rRNA
Rfam family: Bacterial small subunit ribosomal RNA
Source: RNAcentral
AGGACGAACGCUGGCGGCGUGCUUAACACAUGCAAGUCGAGCGGUAAGGCCUUUCGGGGUACACGAGCGGCGAACGGGUGAGUAACACGUGGGUGAUCUGCCCUGCACUCUGGGAUAAGCCUGGGAAACUGGGUCUAAUACCGGAUAUGACCUGCUCUCGCAUGGGGGUGGGUGGAAAGAUUUAUCGGUGCAGGAUGGGCCCGCGGCCUAUCAGCUUGUUGGUGGGGUAAUGGCCUACCAAGGCGACGACGGGUAGCCGACCUGAGAGGGUGACCGGCCACACUGGGACUGAGACACGGCCCAGACUCCUACGGGAGGCAGCAGUGGGGAAUAUUGCACAAUGGGCGAAAGCCUGAUGCAGCGACGCCGCGUGAGGAUGAAGGCCUUCGGGUUGUAAACCUCUUUCAGCAGGGACGAAGCGCAAGUGACGGUACCCUGCGAGAAGAAGCGACCGGCUAACUACGUCGCCAGCAGCCGAC